Molecule: ribosomal RNA, 467 nt
Filed under: uncultured bacterium
Lineage: Bacteria
Description: partial 16S ribosomal RNA
Rfam family: Bacterial small subunit ribosomal RNA
Source: RNAcentral
GACGAACGCUGGCGGCGUGCUUAACACAUGCAAGUCGAACGGAAAGGCCCUGCUUUUGUGGGGUGCUCGAGUGGCGAACGGGUGAGUAACACGUGAGUAACCUGCCCUUGACUUUGGGAUAACUUCAGGAAACUGGGGCUAAUACCGGAUAGGAGCUCCUGCUGCAUGGUGGGGGUUGGAAAGUUUCGGCGGUUGGGGAUGGACUCGCGGCUUAUCAGCUUGUUGGUGGGGUAGUGGCUUACCAAGGCUUUGACGGGUAGCCGGCCUGAGAGGGUGACCGGCCACAUUGGGACUGAGAUACGGCCCAGACUCCUACGGGAGGCAGCAGUGGGGAAUAUUGCACAAUGGGCGGAAGCCUGAUGCAGCAACGCCGCGUGCGGGAUGACGGCGUUCGGGUUGUAAACCGCUUUCGCCUGUGACGAAGCGUGAGUGACGGUAAUGGGUAAAGAAGCACCGGCUAACUACGU